UACGUAGGGUGCCAGCGUUGUUCGGAAUUACUGGGCGUAAAGGGUGUGUAGGCGGUCUGUUAAGUCAGAUGUGAAAUCCCACAGCUUAACUGUGGAACUGCGUUUGAUACUGGCAGACUAGAGUACGGAAGAGGGAGAUAGAAUUCCGAGUGUAGUGGUGAAAUACGUAGAUAUUCGGAGGAACACCGGUGGCGAAGGCGGUCUCCUAGGCCUGUACUGACGCUGAGGCACGAAAGCACGGGUAG
Molecule: ribosomal RNA, 245 nt
Filed under: uncultured bacterium
Lineage: Bacteria
Description: partial 16S ribosomal RNA
Rfam family: Bacterial small subunit ribosomal RNA
Source: RNAcentral